GUCCCAGUUCAGAUUGCAGGCUGAAACCCGCCUGCAUGAAGACGGAAUUGCUAGUAAUCGCGGAUCAGCAUGCCGCGGUGAAUACGUUCCCGGGCCUUGUACACACCGCCCGUCACACCAUGAGAGUCGGUAACACCCGAAGCCUGUGAGCUAACCGUAAGGAGGCAGCAGUCGAAGGUGGGAUCGAUAAUUGGGGUGAAGUCGUAACAAGGUAAC
RNAcentral lists this ribosomal RNA (216 nucleotides) under uncultured bacterium. RNAcentral's name for it is "partial 16S ribosomal RNA". It matches the Rfam family "Bacterial small subunit ribosomal RNA", at positions 1285 to 1500 of the family's 1533-position model. The record is from RNAcentral.